RNAcentral lists this non-coding RNA (29 nucleotides) under Mus musculus (house mouse). The record is from RNAcentral. Lineage: Eukaryota; Metazoa; Chordata; Mammalia; Rodentia; Muridae.
UCCUUCUUUAAUGGUGCUCAGGUAUGGGA